AUUGAACGCUGGCGGCAGGCCUAACACAUGCCAGUCGAGCGGAUGAAGGGAGCUUGCUCCUGGAUUCAGCGGCGGACGGGUGAGUAAUGCCUAGGAAUCUGCCUGGUAGUGGGGGAUAACGUCCGGAAACGGGCGCUAAUACCGCAUACGUCCUGAGGGAGAAAGUGGGGGAUCUUCGGACCUCACGCUAUCAGAUGAGCCUAGGUCGGAUUAGCUAGUUGGUGGGGUAAAGGCCUACCAAGGCGACGAUCCGUAACUGGUCUGAGAGGAUGAUCAGUCACACUGGAACUGAGACACGGUCCCGACUCCUAAGGGAGGCAGCAGUGGGGAAUAUUGGACAAUGGGCGAAAGCCUGAUCCAGCCAUGCCGCGUGUGUGAAGAAGGUCUUCGGAUUGUAAAGCACUUUAAGUUGGGAGGAAGGGCAGUAAGUUAAUACCUUGCUGUUUUGACGUUACCAACAGAAUAAGCACCGGCUAACUUCGUG
Molecule: ribosomal RNA, 484 nt
Filed under: uncultured bacterium
Lineage: Bacteria
Description: partial 16S ribosomal RNA
Rfam family: Bacterial small subunit ribosomal RNA
Source: RNAcentral